Molecule: unclassified non-coding RNA, 1134 nt
Filed under: Schistocerca americana (American grasshopper)
Lineage: Eukaryota; Metazoa; Arthropoda; Insecta; Orthoptera; Acrididae
Description: thialysine N-epsilon-acetyltransferase-like, transcript variant X3
Source: RNAcentral
ACUGCUAUUUGAAAUGAAUUGUGUAAUUUUUUUGACGUCCACGGCGAACCGACCUUGAAGGUCGUUCCGUCACUUAAAGAGUAGCUUCACUUUGGUUGUCAACAUUACGCCGCAGCAUCACAGCAACGUCUCAUCAAUGAGGUGUCCACAUUUGAUGGAAUCGAAAAGUAAACGCUUGGACGACCAAGUCUAGAAAGCACCACACUGAAAUAUUUGCCGCCUCGUUAGAUUUCUUUAUUUCUGCUGAAUGCCAAUUAAUUUCUCCUUUGGAAGGUUCGACGAAAAGAAACCCAGUAGCCAUCAUCAAAGGCAGCGAGCUGAGUUGUUCACAUCUACAAUAAACAGUGUUGAAGUUGCCACUCCCAGUCUUGUUCUUCAUUUCAUUAUUACAUUUAUACUUUUAUCACCAAGACCUCUCUGUAUAAAUAAAGAUCACAAUGGAAAAUGUGAUAAUAAGGGAGGCAAGGAGAGAAGACUGCAAGGAACUGAGAAGAUUGAUACAGGAGCUUGCUGACUUUGAAGAGAUGCCAGAUGACUGCAAGCUGACAGUAGAGGGACUGGAACGUGAUGGCUUUGAUGCAGUGCCACCACUGUUUCAUUGUUAUGUUGCAGAAGUCAAUACACACAUGAAGGAUAUCAGUGCAACCAAGGAAGAAAAUGUUUCAGAUGUAUUGAAAAUGGGAGACAGCUGUGCAAAGCUUAUUGGACAUGCUUUGUAUUUCUUUUCCUAUUCCUCUCAAAGGGGACGUACAAUUUACUUAGAGGAUAUUUAUGUUACACCUGAGUACAGGGGAUCAAAGCUUGGUUCAGCUCUUUUUGAUAAGGUGGCAAAGAAAAUUCAUCUUGACUCACUGACCAAUUACAAGAGUAAAACAAGGACGAUGUUAGCAAAUCAGCACGAAAUAUUAGUACUACCGUUGAAAUGCCAUCAUAACCAGAAUUACUGCUUUUAAGUGGCCUAUGUGCAUUUGUGAUCUCUUUUACAAUUGAUUAGGAAAAACAGAUGUUUCUGGUGGAAAAGGAAUUGAGACUGGAUGUGUUCAAAUGGACCUUGUUGUACUCAAUUGGAAUCCAGCUCAAAUAUUUUACAAACGAAAAGGUGCAACUGACAUCACUUCUGAGAAAAACUUCAAU